This is a long non-coding RNA of Helianthus annuus (common sunflower), 269 nucleotides long. RefSeq lists it as uncharacterized. The record is from RefSeq and is a predicted model, not a curated record. Lineage: Eukaryota; Viridiplantae; Streptophyta; Magnoliopsida; Asterales; Asteraceae. The transcript has 3 exons.
CCCAAUCACUCACCAAUUAAUUCUGUUUUCAGUUUAUCAAUCAUCAGCCAUUCUCAAAUCUUCAGCUUCAAAUCCAUUCAACAACCAUUGUAGUUAAAAAUUGGAGAAUCAUAGUUAAAGUAAAACAUUGAAGAAUUCUUCAAUUCUAUCUUCUAUCAUCAAAGAUGGAUCGUACUUACUGGAUGCUAAAGCCGAUACCAUAUGGCCUCUACUUGAAGCAAAGUAUCCAUAUCUUAAAACCAUACAAGAUAAACGUGCAAAAGCAUGGA